UUUCUUUUUUUGCCAAACAGUUCCAAUUGCAUGUUAUUGGAAUUCAAGAGAACCACCACAAUAUUCAAAUAUUCCUAAUGAUCAUGUCCAAUAAGUGAAAUUUCCAACAAAGUAGGAAACUUUCCAUAUUCAUGCAACUUAACUUCUGUAUAAGGAGCUCUCUUGCAUGCAGAGAUUUUCUCUCCUCUCUUUGCUUUUCACAUGGUAUCAAAGUUUCAAUGAUCUUUGUAGAGACCCAAUUAACGUUCGCUUACUGGAGGAGGCUUUACAUCGUCGCCCAACCAAAGUUUUUCUCUUUAUAUAACAUUACUAUUCUGGUCCAUUUCCUACCAUGUUUUCUGACAUCUUUUUCCGUGGUUUAUUCUAUGUGCCUCAUGCAACAUGAAUUGUCAAGGGCUAAUGCUAUCCUUCCACCUCAUUUGACCCACAAGCCAAUACUACACAUUUGUCUAGUUAGAACACAUUUGUCUAGUUAUGAAACUAUGUCAACCAACAUAUCACAUUAGUAAUAUAAGUCAAUUGACAGUCAAGUCAGUAGUCUACAUUGUUCCAGUUAGAAGCCCACGUCAGCUGACCUUUUGAGUCAACAACCACUUCAUCCCCAUUUGUGUCAUGUCUUUGUGCAGAAAAGAAACUAUCAUGGCCAAGCUAGCAUGAUAUCAUCAUACAUGUCUUCAAGUUUGGUCAUAUCUCAUGAUUUUAUGGUAGCGCCACCGCUUAAUCUUAUGGCAACACCAAGUCAAUUUUGUUCUGGCAAUACUGUUUCAAUAAUAUUAUCCAAACUGCUGUUCCUUCAACAGUAACUUUUUCCAACAUACUCAACUUGAAUUUCUAAUUUUUAUUUGCAAACUGAAGUUGUUAGACCACCUUGAGUUUGACGGGACGUGCAAUAGAAACUUGUGUUUGAUAAAAAGCAAAUGAUUCUUUAUAAACCAUAAAAACCAACAAAGUGGAACCUCCCCCAUUAAAGUCCAACUAUGCACAUGCCAUUUAUAAUUGAAGGUGAAUUCCUAUACGUAGUGAGACCGCAAAUUUGCCUGAGUUAAAUAGGAACAUGUAUGUCCCUAGACAUUCUAACUUUCUCGAGCAAUUACGAGACAGAAGUAAGCUUUUUGUUUUUUUUUUUUUUUUUUUGAGAAGGUAACAACAAGAGCGAAGUAAGCUUGAAGAAACUGAAAUGAUCAAAAGCGAAUUAGUAGCUUUUUGGAGUUAAGCAAAAGUAUCACAAAUGGAACAUGCUGCUAGCACAACCUUGAUCUUGAGAGAAGGUGAAUUUGGCUAUAGUAGCAUGAAUAAUUCAUUAGUAGUCAUUGCUCAAGUAGCACUCCUUUCUUUCCAAGUUACAGCUCAUGGCACUAUUUAUCGUGGUCAACAAAAGAGAAAAGCUUAACCUUUUCUUGUUCAAAUUCAUCUUCAACAGUUCUCCUAAUACUAUUCUAAAGCAAUCCAUGAUAUUCUAUAUGGAUGAAGGAAAUUGUAGCAGAUGUACAAAAUUAAAUUAUGUUGUUUCCUUUGGUCAGAAACUUAAGCAUCUUCAACCAACACUUCAAUAAGUAAGCAACUUAAGGUAAGCUACACAUGGCGCACAAAAUUAAAGACAACAUUUCCCCGAGAAAGGGACAUAAGAAGGCCGAGUUUACAAGCAAUCUAUGUUCGCAAAGGUUGAGGUCCACUAAAUGGGUACAAAGUACUUGGAUUGACACAUUAGUUUUGUUUUAUAGAUCAAUUGGCACACCAGUAAAGCCUAGUAUAGUCGCAAAUGUAACUAAGCUAGAUGUCGGUUAAUCGGGCAACAUGCUUAUCAAGUGAUACAAAUACUUGAUUACACAAUGAAGCAAACAUCUAAAUUUGAGAACGCUGGACAAAGGAUAUGAUGCAAGUGCAUGGUUACAAUAGUCGAAAGGUAUUAGAUAUCAAGCAACUGCUAAAGCAUACAGGGAAGAGACAAAACAAUACAGACAUAACAGGGGAAACACCCCCGAAUAGUACGAUCUGGGAGAUAAGAAACUAGUUAGAAGAUGCCAAUAUACAUUUCAGUAACACAUAACGGUUCACAAUUUCUUUGCUGAAGGCGCUGUUAAGCCCUAAGUUUGAAUUCCAAUUUAAUUGCCCUUAUUCCGAAAGUCUAAAGUCCUUCCAAUUUUCACCAAAAGUGGAACCUCCCCCAUUAAAGUC
This 2175-nucleotide long non-coding RNA is filed under the name Nicotiana benthamiana. RNAcentral describes it as "long non-coding RNA (NBEN_LNC039819)". Lineage: Eukaryota; Viridiplantae; Streptophyta; Magnoliopsida; Solanales; Solanaceae. The record is from RNAcentral.